RNAcentral lists this transfer RNA (68 nucleotides) under Apis koschevnikovi. Its description in RNAcentral is "tRNA-Lys". The record is from RNAcentral. Lineage: Eukaryota; Metazoa; Arthropoda; Insecta; Hymenoptera; Apidae.
CAUUAGGUGUCUGAAUUUUAAGAGUUGAUCUUUUAAAUCAAAUAUAGUAUAAAUUAUACUCCUAAUGA